This 67-nucleotide transfer RNA is filed under the name Marmota monax (woodchuck). RNAcentral's name for it is "tRNA.Ala". The record is from RNAcentral. Lineage: Eukaryota; Metazoa; Chordata; Mammalia; Rodentia; Sciuridae.
GGUUGUGGCUUAGUGGUAGAUCACUUGCCUAGCAUGCAUGAGGCAUUGGGUUGGAUCCCCAGCACCA